Molecule: unclassified non-coding RNA, 328 nt
Filed under: soil metagenome
Description: partial contains 5.8S ribosomal RNA, internal transcribed spacer 2, and large subunit ribosomal RNA
Rfam family: 5.8S ribosomal RNA (bases 1-120)
Source: RNAcentral
GAUGAAGAACGUAGCGAAAUGCGAUAAGUAAUGUGAAUUGCAGAAUUCAGUGAAUCAUCGAAUCUUUGAACGCACAUUGCGCCCCUUGGUAUUCCGAGGGGCAUGCCUGUUCGAGCGUCAUUAUAACCCCUCAAGCUCAGCUUGGUGUUGGGGCCUGCUGCACUGGCAGCCCUUAAAAUCAGUGGCGGCGCCAUCUGGCUCUAAGCGUAGUAAUUCUUCUCGCUGUUGAGCUCCGGUGGUCGCCCGCCAGCAACCCCCAACUUUUACAGUUUGACCUGGGAUGAGGUAGGGAUACCCGCUGAACUUAAGCAUAUCAAUAAGCGGAGGA